RNAcentral lists this ribosomal RNA (378 nucleotides) under uncultured bacterium. RNAcentral describes it as "bacterial SSU rRNA". It matches the Rfam family "Bacterial small subunit ribosomal RNA", at positions 524 to 898 of the family's 1533-position model. The record is from RNAcentral.
UACAGGGGGAGCGAACGUUACUCGGAAUCACUGGGCAUAAAGGGCGCGUAGGCGGUCCUGUAAGUCGGAUGUGAAAGACCUUGGCUCAACCAAGGAACGGCAUCCGAUACUGCGGGGCUUGAGGCCGAGAGGGGCAAGCGGAACUCCUGGUGGAGCGGUGAAAUGCGUAGAUAUCAGGAGGAACACCGGUGGCGAAGGCGGCUUGCUGGAUCGGUUCUGACGCUGAGGCGCGAAAGCCAGGGGAGCAAACGGGAUUAGAUACCCCGGUAGUCCUGGCCGUAAACGAUGGGCACUAGGUAGUGGGGGCUGUCUAUGGUCUUCGCUGCCGUAGCUAAUGUGUUAAGUGCCCCGCCUGGGGAGUAUGCUCGCAAGGGUAAA